GACGAACGCUGGCGGCGUGCUUAACACAUGCAAGUCGAACGGUGAACCUCUUCGGAGGGGCUCAGUGGCGAACGGGCGAGUAACACGUGGGCAACCUGCCCCCGGCUCUGGGAUAACUCCAAGAAAUUGGGGCUAAUACCGGAUGUUCACCGCUUCCCGCAUGGGUGGUGGUGAAAAGGGUUUCCGGCUGGGGAUGGGCCCGCGGCCUAUCAGCUUGUUGGUGGGGUAGUGGCCUACCAAGGCGACGACGGGUAGGCGGCAUGAGAGGGUGACCGGCGACAAGGGUACUGAGAGACGGCCCAGUGUCCUACGGUAGGCAGCAGGCGGGAAUAUUGCGCAAUGGGCGGAAGUCUGACGCAGCGACGUCGCGUGGGGGAUGACGGUCUUUGGGUUGUAAACCGCUUCCAGCAGGGACCAAGCUCAAGUGACGGUACCUGCAGAAGAAGCACCGGCUAACUACGUG
This 463-nucleotide ribosomal RNA is filed under the name uncultured bacterium. RNAcentral's name for it is "partial 16S ribosomal RNA". It matches the Rfam family "Bacterial small subunit ribosomal RNA", at positions 28 to 507 of the family's 1533-position model. The record is from RNAcentral.